UUUCAUUUUAUUAUUUGUUUAGUUGUUCCCUGCUGACUUCAGGUGGGAUGAUUUCAGUCAAUCAGGAUCAGCUGGCAGGAAAGGUUACAAGAAGCCUUGCCAUUCCUAUUAGAUCAAUUCCAUCAGGACCGAACACCAGCAGGUGGCAGAUCUCGAAUAUGAAUCGAAGAGCCUUUUUUAUAUUUGUGCUCGAAAUUUGCUAUAAAGUGGUUUAGGUUAAGAGAAAAAGCAUUUUUGGAACCUUUCAGGAAACAGUAUUUAAUAGAACAAUUCUUUUGUUUCUGAACAUUCCAAUUCCUCUACAAAGAACCUUUUGUGUGACUGAAAGGUUUCACAGAUGUUAAAGGUUCUUCAAGGAACCAUAAAUGCCAAUAAAGAAACGUGGAUCAUGCACCUUCUUUAAUAUAGCGCCGCUGACACAGGCUACAGAGAUUAGAAGCAGCAGAUACAGACUGUAUUGAUCGGCCCUUCUCAUCCCUCGGCCGCAUGUGCUCUUCAAAACCUUCUAGCUGAUGUCUGAAACAGUCGGUGUGCGCAUGAGGUUUUGGUGCAGCUGAGGAUUAUUAUUGCUGGAAAGUUACAUCAUUUUCUACUCGAGGAAGUUCUUCUAUAAGCCCGCAAGCUCUUCAUCGCUAACAAACC
Cyprinus carpio carpio is the source of this 642-nucleotide long non-coding RNA. NCBI's taxonomy places the organism in Eukaryota, Metazoa, Chordata, Actinopteri, Cypriniformes, Cyprinidae. The record is from Ensembl.